GAUGAACGCUGGCGGCGUGCCUAAUACAUGCAAGUCGAGCGAACAGAUGAGGAGCUUGCUCCUCUGACGUUAGCGGCGGACGGGUGAGUAACACGUGGAUAACCUACCUAUAAGACUGGGAUAACUUCGGGAAACCGGAGCUAAUACCGGAUAAUAUAUUGAACCGCAUGGUUCAAUAGUGAAAGACGGUUUUGCUGUCACUUAUAGAUGGAUCCGCGCCGCAUUAGCUAGUUGGUAAGGUAACGGCUUACCAAGGCAACGAUGCGUAGCCGACCUGAGAGGGUGAUCGGCCACACUGGAACGUAGACACGGUCCAGACUCCUACGGGAGGCAGCAGUAGGGAAUCUUCCGCAAUGGGCGAAAGCCUGACGGAGCAACGCCGCGUGAGUGAUGAAGGUCUUCGGAUCGUAAAACUCUGUUAUUAGGGAAGAACAAAUGUGUAAGUAACUAUGCACGUCUUGACGGUACCUAAUCAGAAAGCCACGGCUAACUACGUG
This 497-nucleotide ribosomal RNA is filed under the name uncultured bacterium. Its description in RNAcentral is "partial 16S ribosomal RNA". It matches the Rfam family "Bacterial small subunit ribosomal RNA", at positions 28 to 507 of the family's 1533-position model. The record is from RNAcentral.